GACGAACGCUGGCGGCGUGCUUAACACAUGCAAGUCGAACGGAAAGGCCUGCUUUCCCUUGUGGAUUGCGGGUACUCGAGUGGCGAACGGGUGAGUAACACGUGAGUGAUCUGCCCCCAACUUGGGUAUAAGCCUGGGAAACUGGGUCUAAUUCCCGAUAGGACUGCAGGGUGGUGCCUGUGGUGGAAAACGAUUUUCUAGUGGUUGGGGAUGAGCUCGCGGCCUAUCAGCUGGUUGGAGGGGUAAUGGCCUACCAAGGCGGGGACGGGUAGCCGGCCUGAGAGGGUGGGCGGCCACAGUGGGACGGAGAUACGGCCCAGGCGCCUACGGGAGGCAGCAGUGGGGAGUAUUGCACAAGGGGCGGAAGCCUGAGGCAGCGACGCCGCGUGGGGGAUGACGGCCUUCGGGUUGUAAACUCCUUUCGACCGCGAGGAAGCCACCUGGUUGGAAGGGUAGUGACGGUAGUGGUAGAAGAAGCACCGGCUAACUACGUG
This 494-nucleotide ribosomal RNA is filed under the name uncultured bacterium. RNAcentral describes it as "partial 16S ribosomal RNA". It matches the Rfam family "Bacterial small subunit ribosomal RNA", at positions 28 to 507 of the family's 1533-position model. The record is from RNAcentral.